GGAAUCUUCCACAAUGGGCGCAAGCCUGAUGGAGCAACGCCGCGUGAGUGAAGAAGAUCUUCGGAUCGUAAAACUCUGUUGUUAGAGAAGAACACGAGUGAGAGUAACUGUUCAUUCGAUGACGGUAUCUAACCAGCAAGUCACGGCUAACUACGUACCAG
This 161-nucleotide ribosomal RNA is filed under the name uncultured bacterium. Its description in RNAcentral is "partial 16S rRNA". It matches the Rfam family "Bacterial small subunit ribosomal RNA", at positions 358 to 511 of the family's 1533-position model. The record is from RNAcentral.